Molecule: ribosomal RNA, 495 nt
Filed under: uncultured bacterium
Lineage: Bacteria
Description: bacterial SSU rRNA
Rfam family: Bacterial small subunit ribosomal RNA
Source: RNAcentral
AAAUGAAUAGACGGGGACUCGCACAAGCGGUGGAGCAUGUGGUUUAAUUCGACGCAACGCGAAAAACCUUACCAAGCCUUGACAUCCCUCUGAAUAUGAUAGAGAUAUUGUAGGCCCUUCGGGGACAGAGGUGACAGGUGGUGCAUGGUUGUCGUCAGCUCGUGUCGUGAGAUGUUGGGUUAAGUCCCGCAACGAGCGCAACCCUUAUCAUUAGUUGCUAACAUUUAGUUGAGCACUCUAAAGAGACUGCCAGCGAUAAGUUGGAGGAAGGUAGGGAUGACGUCAAAUCAUCAUGCCCCUUAUGGCUUGGGCCACACACGUGCUACAAUGGCCGAUACAAAGAGAUGCAAGACUGUGAAGUUAAGCGGAUCUCAAAAAGUCGGUCUCAGUUCGGAUUGUAGUCUGCAACUCGACUACAUGAAGUUGGAAUCGCUAGUAAUCGUAAAUCAGCAUGUUACGGUGAAUACGUUCUCGAGUCUUGUACACACCGCCCGU